Molecule: ribosomal RNA, 468 nt
Filed under: uncultured bacterium
Lineage: Bacteria
Description: partial 16S ribosomal RNA
Rfam family: Bacterial small subunit ribosomal RNA
Source: RNAcentral
GACGAACGCUGGCGGCGGGCUUAACACAUGCAAGUCGAACGGAAAGGCCCUGCUUGUGUCUGGUGCCCGAGUGGCGAACGGGUGAGUAACACGUGAGUAACCUGCGCUGUACUUUGGGAUAACUGCAGGAAACUGGGGCUAAUACCGGAUACGAGCUCCUGCUGCAUGGUGGGGGUUGGAAAGUUUCGGCGGUUGGGGCUGGACGCGAGGGUUAUCAGCUUGUUGGUGGGGGAGUUGCUUACCAAGGCAUUGACGGGUAGCCGGCAUGAGAGGGUGAACGGGCACCAUGCUCCUGCGAUAGGGACCAGAGUCGUAUAGGAGACAGUGGGCGAGAACCUUGUCCAACCGGGGGAAGUCUGAGGAGAAAGUCUUGGGAGUGUGAUGCACGUUUAGGGGUUGGAAAGCGCAGUAGCUUGUGACCAAGCGUGAGUGACGGUACCGGCUAAAGAAGCACCGGCUAACUACGUG